Protobothrops mucrosquamatus (brown spotted pit viper) is the source of this 309-nucleotide long non-coding RNA. RefSeq lists it as uncharacterized. The record is from RefSeq and is a predicted model, not a curated record. NCBI's taxonomy places the organism in Eukaryota, Metazoa, Chordata, Lepidosauria, Squamata, Viperidae. The transcript has 3 exons.
AAGAAGAUACUUCGCCACUGACUGUGUUUGGAAGUACUACAAUUUCUCCAUUUCUCAAAGCAACGCUCCCUCGUUUGCUUACUUGAAAGUGGGAGAUUUUUACUAUUACGGUUAUCAGAACCAGACCAGAAAUUUGGAUAUGUCAGCACACAUGUAUGCACAAGCAGCGUUGAAGGACGAUGCGCAGGGAUUCUUUAAUUUGGCUCUGCUUCUGGAAGAAGGUCAUUCUAUCCCAAGUUAUAUUUUAGAUCGUUUAAAGAUUGACAGCUCCGUCCACUCCAGAAAUAUGUCCCUCCGUGAAGAGCUUUA